UCGAGCGGAGUGAUGGUGCUUGCACUAUCACUUAGCGGCGGACGGGUGAGUAAUGCUUAGGAAUCUGCCUAUUAGUGGGGGACAACAUCUCGAAAGGGAUGCUAAUACCGCAUACGUCCUACGGGAGAAAGCAGGGGAUCACUUGUGACCUUGCGCUAAUAGAUGAGCCUAAGUCGGAUUAGCUAGUUGGUGGGGUAAAGGCCUACCAAGGCGACGAUCUGUAGCGGGUCUGAGAGGAUGAUCCGCCACACUGGGACUGAGACACGGCCCAGACUCCUACGGGAGGCAGCAGUGGGGAAUAUUGGACAAUGGGGGGAACCCUGAUCCNGCCAUGCCGCGUGUGUGAAGAAGGCCUUAUGGUUGUAAAGCACUUUAAGCGAGGAGGAGGCUCUUUUGGUUAAUACCCAAGAUGAGUGGACGUUACUCGCANAANAAGCACCGGCUAACUCUGUGCCAGCAGCCGCGGUAAUACAGAGGGUGCAAGCGUUAAUCGGAUUUACUGGGCGUAAAGCGCGCGUAGGCGGCCAAUUAAGUCAAAUGUGAAAUCCCCGAGCUUAACUUGGGAAUUGCAUUCGAUACUGGUUGGCUAGAGUGUGGGAGAGGAUGGUAGAAUUCCAGGUGUAGCGGUGAAAUGCGUAGAGAUCUGGA
Molecule: ribosomal RNA, 648 nt
Filed under: Acinetobacter soli
Lineage: Bacteria; Pseudomonadati; Pseudomonadota; Gammaproteobacteria; Moraxellales; Moraxellaceae
Description: bacterial SSU rRNA
Rfam family: Bacterial small subunit ribosomal RNA
Source: RNAcentral